Gasterosteus aculeatus aculeatus (three-spined stickleback) is the source of this 964-nucleotide long non-coding RNA. The record is from Ensembl. NCBI's taxonomy places the organism in Eukaryota, Metazoa, Chordata, Actinopteri, Perciformes, Gasterosteidae.
GCGGUUUUCUUCCUUGGCCUUUUGUUUUUUGGAAUUUUGACUUGGAAGUCUUUUUGUUUUUUCCCGCGGCCUUGCCAGGACACCGUCAGCGGCUAGGAUACGUUUUGAUUCAGGGUGAAACAAGACAACAGGUUUAUAGUGGGCGCAUCCUGGAAUUACAUAUUACAUUCACAUGUUAAAGUGCUUUACAGACGUGAAAUGCGAAAACACCGGGGAUUAGUCUAUUAGGUUAAUUAUUAUCAUCAGUAUAAAAGCAGAAUGGAACAGUUGGUGCGACCUUUGCUCAGUAGAAAUAUAUUCAUAAAAGCUAUAGAAAGAAAAGAUAAGAAAGUACUGACGGACCCUCGCAAAGUGAACGAGUUUCCUGAGUUCAAGAUCAACAAAAACUAUCCGACUGAUUUCAACCAGAAUCAGCGAUCCGUUCUUAAAAGACGAGUUACCAAGUGUGCCGCAGAUAAAAGAUGAGCAGCGUCAUCAUGUUGCCAAGGUUGUAGUUUCUCCACAAGAAGCAAACAACACCUUUGUGGAGUUUCAUACCAGCGAUAUUGGGGCUCAUUGUGGUAUUGAAAAGUCCUUGGAUGCAAUCCUUCAAAAAUGUAUUAGUGGCCUGGCAUGAAGGCUGACAUUUAAAAAUGGGUGAGUAUUUCUAGCUCCAUAUUCCAGGGGAGCUUAUGGUAAUAUUUACAUAUUCAGUAUAAGAGUGUUGCAUUGUUUCACUAGAUUGUCCAAUGAGACGCUUGCCAGAAAAAGAGGACCUCUAUGAAAGAGAAUUCAUUACAAACCAAUAGAGGUGACCGAGCCCUUUGAGCUUGUGGGAAUGGAACUAGUUGGCAAGCUGAAAUGCACCAACAAUGGUUACAUGUACAUUUGUGUGAUGGUGGACUACUUUACAAAGUGGAUAGAAGACUACCUGCUAAGAACAAAUGGAGCAGAAGAAGUCACACUCUGCAUAAUGGACUUCUUC